This is a non-coding RNA of Manis javanica (Malayan pangolin), 6448 nucleotides long. NCBI's taxonomy places the organism in Eukaryota, Metazoa, Chordata, Mammalia, Pholidota, Manidae. The record is from RefSeq and is a predicted model, not a curated record.
GAAGCCUCGUCUGGACCCUCAGCCCUGUUGUUCACAGCCUCUAUUUGGGCCUGUGCUUCCAUACCAACCUGGGCUACCUCUGUAAUAGUACCUGAGGUUUUAUGUUGUCUUCUUCUGUUCUUGGUCUCUCUCCCUAAGAACACUAAAGUAUUUGAGGGCAGGGGCUGAGUCUUAUCUCUGUAUCUCUAGAUCAGCACAGUGCCUUGAACAUAGCAAGUGCUCAAUAAAUGUUUGCUGAAUGAUUUAAAAAUGAGCACAGUAACUUUGUAGUAAAGUUUCAUGUUGUAUUUUGUUCAAGACUCAUGUACCACAACCCAUAGUAAUGUGAUAAUUACCAUAUAACUUCCGGUAUGCCAGCCCCUCACCCAUCAUUCCAUAAUCAUAGACCUAUUCUUAGGCUAAUUCUAUUCUACACAGCAGGAAGCGGGUUAAGAACAUUGUGACUUGUUCUUAUUGAUAUAGGCCCCACAAAAACUGGAUGGUUUAGGUCCCAAAGUCAACUUGUGAGAACUAUCUGAUUAAUCUGUUGAUAUAACCUGAUUUAACUGAUAAUUUGACACCUCUUCUUUGGAUUUGAUUAUGUAAGUAUUGCCUAAUUUAUAGACUUAAAAAAAGUUUUGCCUAUUCAUUGAACUUGGAAUAAAAGGAAAAUAGGGAUAUUGAGACUUGUGGGCUCUAAAAAUGUUUUCUUCCCAGUUUAAAUUACUUUAGUAAUUAUAUCUACUGUUCAGAUAGCCUAGGAACUAUGACUUGCGCUCUUACAUGAUAAAGGCUGGGAUCUGUACCCACUGCUUUUAGCUGAGUUAUAUACGGUAUGAACUAUUCCCUACUCCUUUCACUAUAGAGGAUAACAGAACCUGUAACCUAGUUUGUUCUUUUUUUUAAAUGAAGUAUAAUUGAGAUACAACAUUAUAUUCAUUUCAGGUAUACAACAUAAUGAUUUAGUAUUUGUACAUAUUGUGGGAUAACCACAAUAAGUCUAGUUUACAUCCACCAUCAUACAUAAUUACAGAAUUUUUUUUCUUGUGAUGAGAACUUUUAAAAUCUACUUCCUUAGCAACUUUAAAAUAUGGAAUAAUAUAUACAGUAUUAUUAACUAGUCACCAUGCUGUUGUUAUAUCCUCAGACUUAUUUAUUUUUUAACUGGAAGUUUGUACCUUUUGUUUACUGUUUGAAAUACUAAGAAAUUAAGCCUAUAUAGCAGCAGACUCAACCAAGUGAAGAUCACUGUCUUUCUUAGCAUUCCUCCUCCAUUAUAUCAUCUUGAUACAAUAUUCAUCUUCUAAUAUGAAUGAAUAAAAUAAAUAAAAGUACUCUCAAAGCUGAACACAAGAUACAAAUCAAGCAGGUUACCUAGAGUCACAGCUCCUACAACAAAUCCUUGGGCAGCAACUCUCAUGUGGAUAAGAUGAAUUGACAUUUUCUUAUCUUUUUUGUACUUUAACUUGUAAAGCCCAUAGGAUACCACAGUCAUAAAGCCUGCUAUCCCUGUGAAUUAAAAGAGUAGGGGUUAUACAAGUAAUAGGCGAGAAUUCCAAGAGCUGAGAGAACUGAAUAAAAGACUUUUCAAAGGAUCAGUACUUAGAAGAUAAGUAGGAAAGAUACUGAAGAAUACUUUAUAAAGAGAACCGUGCUGGCUUUGAUCCACCAAAUUUAAAAAUGGACCCUUCACAUUCAUGGAUUCAAUAUUUUCAGUUUUGGCUCUUCCCAGGAAAACCUGAACCCUAUAGUAUAGUAACUUGUCUAGCAAAUGCUGAUUUAUUUGAGGUGUGAUUUUGAAUUGGGCAUGCUGCCAGGCUUUUAUCUAGAGUAAGUCAUUAACCAGUGAGCAAACCAACCAAACAACCCAGCAGCCAUAGCUUUUGAGUGUUUGUUUGGCUUUACUCCUCUCUACUUGUUGUGAAAUAAGAAACAAAUCUGGUAAAGUGAUAAAACUUCAAUCAUCUGUAAAAAUGAGACAUUAAACUUUAAUGAGAGAUGAAAAGGUAGGAAUGAAUAUUUUGCACAAGAAGUAUGUGACUCUGGGGAGAACUGUGAUUCUAGAAAACUCCAGAAGGCCACAUACAUAUUUCUGUAUUCCCUGCAAAUGUCAAGGGGUGAAUGUACUGCUGUGAUGAUCAAGAUCCUAUGUAAUUGUCUCUAAAACAAAACGGAUCAAAUUUAAUAAGAAAGAUUCUGGGAAGAGAUUUAAAACACAGAGAACUUAAUCCAUUAUAAAUCAAAAUAACCAAAAUAACAGAUAAAGGAGUAAUUAUUUAAUAAAUACUAUUAGUAUAAUUUACUGGUGUAGAGAACUAACUUGGAUUUGUAUCUCACACCAGACCCGAUAAAAAAAAAUUAUAGACAAGUGAGAAUAAAUGUAAAACAGAGCAAAAAUAACAAAAAUGAGAAUGUAGAAUAGCAUAUUUGUAACAUCUAACAGAGGGUAAGGUAGUCUUUAAGAGAACAUGACAAGGACAGAAUGCUAUGUUUGACAUAAGAAUAUAGAAAACUUUUGCAUAAUAAAAGUGUGGGUCUGUUUUUGGGUUCUCUCUUCUAGCCUAUUGAUCUGUGCUUCUAACCCUCCAUCAAUACUGCAGUGUCUUGAUUACUGUAGCAAUGUAUACAUAAUAAGAUUUACUAUCAGGUGGGUGAUUUUUCCCACUUUAUCUUUUAAAAAAAGAAGAUUGUUUAGUCAUGCUAAGACUUGUGCUUUCCAUAUACAUUUUAGAAUAAGCUUGUCUAUGUCUACAAAACACCUUGCUGGGAUUUUGGGAGGAAUUACACUAAACCUAUAGACCAAUUUGGGGAGAACUGACAUCUUUACUAUAUAUUGAGUCUUGUAAUCCAUUAACACAGUGGUGUCUACAUUUAUUUAGGUCUUUGAGUUCUUCAAUUAGCACUUUGUAAUUUUUGGCAUACAGAUUCUGUACACGUUAAGCAUAUACCUAAGCAUUUCAUUUUCUUUGGAGUGAUUGUAAAUGGUACCAUGUUUUUAAUUUCAGUGUCUAUAUGUUUGCUAGCAUAUAGAAGUACAAUUGAUAUUUAUAUAGGAUAGUAAGUUUUGAUUAACUGUUGGCACAUGUGUGUCUCUGGGUGGGUGAUGAUAUAUUCUCACAGGAUCCAUUUAAUAAAUGGAAAUAAGAAUCAGUAAAUAAUCACAUUUAUAUGUAUGUCUUAUGGGCUGAUUAGCAAUAAAUGAAAUUGAAAUAAAACAGCAAACAUAAAAACAGCAAAAAACAAGUAACAAUAAAGUGAUGAUAGGCACGUUGAGAACUAGGUAUAAUGCUGAAAGCUCUUAAAGUUUAGCCAAAUUGUUCUGGAAAGAGCUCUGGUCAUAUAUUAGUGGUAUAAAACUGAACAUGCUUCCUGCCCUGGAAAUUUAUACUCUAGAAACAAGCAAAACAAAAGUCGAGUUCACACAAAAGUGUUUAUGGCUACACUAUGUAUGUGGAAAAACUAAACAAUCUAAAUAGUCCAGAGGAAAAAUUGCCAUAGUUACUUAAAAACAAAAUUUGGGGAUCAAAAGUUAUAUGUGGAUUUUCAACUGCAUGGGGGAUUGACUCCCUAGAUCCUGUGUAGUUCAGGGAUCAUUUGUAUGUAUAAAAUACAGCACAGACCUUAACAGUGAUCAUAAGGUAAUUUUAAACAAGAUAAAUAGGUUAUAAUGAUGUAAGUCAUUUAAAAUGACAAAAAUAUUUUGUAAUUUAUGUGCAUAGGAUAUUGCAUCCUGCAGCAGGAAAUAUAGUAUUGUUAAAAUAACAAUAGCUAUACAAAGUAUUCAAUAACAUAUACACAAAUUUUAUUGUUAUUUUUCUAACAGAAACUUGGCUCUCUUCCCUUAUCAAAUCAAUGCUCUGUUAUGACUUAAAUUGGUUUUGUUUCUUUUUGAGAUUAAAGUCUGAACCUUUCUGUUUUCCAUAUAGUGUCUUUGUAGUUUGUAUAUAAUUGAAUUUAUUCAAUUAGCUGGAAACACUUUUAUCUUUCUCCUUUAAUCAACCUAAAUGUCUCUGGCAAAAUAAUUUAACUUACAACAGGCACAGGAUUAAUCUCUGAGAGUGAUCUGUUCAGGUGGCAUUGAAUUCUUGAAUUGUUUUUCUAGUUAAAAAUAUUAAGACGAAUAAAUCAUUAUAAAAUUAUUUGCUUUAAUUUUCUGUGGGUGCCUUUAUAAGUUUUAAUCACAUUAGGUAAAACUUCUAACCAUAGGAGUAACUAGUUAGUUAUUAGUAACUAUUAAGUAAAUUUUGAUUCUUUUUGAUAUAUCGAUAAUGAUGCUUACGAAGUUGCAGUGACACUUAAUGGAAACAUAUGACUUAUACCUGUUUAGAAGGUUUUAUGGAAUUAAUUGCAAACAUAUGUAAGUCUCAUUUAAAUAAAUUAUUUUAAUAGUUUCCAGACAAAAUAAACACAAGAAAGAGGCCUGGCUGCAGUACACAGUAAUAAUGAUUAAUAAUGAUUAGGGCAGCUUGACCAUCCAAAAGAGAACAAGAAAGCUUAGAUCUUGAAAUAUAAUAUUGGAUUUUGUUGUUUUUUUCUUUCCUUUUUGGAUUUUGUGGGUUUUUUUUUAAUCCACACAUACAUAUGGUAUUUAUUUGAAUGUAAACUUAGUAAAUACAUGUUAGGUAAGAAUGAGGCUAAGACUCUAAGUCUAAUUAUAAUACCACUUUCUUAAUCUAGUUUACUUAACCAUCAACCUUGACAUCUGGAACACAUGAGGAAGCCUGCAAACAGGGCCACUGGGUAUGAGCACCACAAAGCUCAUGCUCUCAAUGGCAGGUAGGUAGGCCUAGGCCUUCACUCAGAGCUUCUUUACCCUGAGUUGAUUCACAGUGCUUUUAAGCUUGUGUGUCUAGCUUUUGUUACCACAGGACUCUAGAAGCAGAAGUUUUUGAUGGUACCCAACAGUAAUGGAAGAAACAGAAAAAUCUAACAUCAGACACAAGAAGUUAAAGGUUGGAGUUGCUUAAAGGACAAAGAGACAUACACAUCUCAAUAGUCCCCAAUAGACUUUCAGUAUAAUAAACUGAUGGUGCUGAGUCAUCACAGGGAAGUUGAAGUCCAGACCACUGCAUUUAGAUUGGCUGGGAACUAAUAAUUUUUGAUAGGCCUUUAAUGAAAAUGGAUUAAGUAGAAUAAAAUUUGAUGCUUCAUAAUAAUAAUAGCUACCAUUUAUUGGCAAUUUACCACAUACUAGAAACUAUUCUGAAAGUUUAACUAAUGCUUAGAGGGGGUUAACUUCAAUUAUCUGAAAAUAUGCAAUUAUAUAAAACAUUUCAGUCCAUUCACACUGGAUAUGGGCAUUGUGUUACUACAGUUUUGCAGUAUCCAGUCAAGGCUUGUACUUACCCACAGGGACAAAGGGGGAGUUCCUAGAUUUCCUGAUGAGUCAGGAUAAUUGGCCUUCAUCCUCAUUUGCUGACCACUGGUUAUCUGAAGACAUUUUUCUCUCUACUCUGAGUAGGAGAUAAAUGUGGUUGCUGUAAAUCAUUAAAAAUAAUCUGUUUACCAUCUCCCAGUAUACUCCUGAUUAUGUCUUCUGUCUUCAUUUGCUUGACAUGCCUGCCUGCUCAGCUGAAAUUAACAGUCAUCUUUCCUUCACCCUUUUCAUUAUGGAAGCCUUUCAUUUUGUUUGGAGGGAUGUAAAAGAAAAAUAUAUAAAGAGAGGUAAUGAUAUCCAUGAAUACAGAGUAAAAACACAGAUCAUAAUUAUAUUAUUCAGUUUCCUUUCACUGCUCAGCAUUUGAGAUCUUUGUGAACCUCAGAACUCCAUCCACAAGCAGUUAAGAACACAUUUUCUUCUACACAAUUUAAUUUUAAAGAAUGAUGGAAGUGCCAACACAGACAAAAAUACUUUCAGAUUUACAGGUAAUGGGAGAACAAUCACUUCAAUUCUGCAGAAUGUGCAGGGUAUUAUAAAGGCAUUGAGAUUUACCAAGCACCUGCCAUGGACCAGGUGCUGUAUUAGAGAAUGGGAAUAAUCCUCCUUGUUUACACAGGAUGAAUGAAGAAACUGGCAAGAGCAACUGUAAUCACAAUCGAUGCAUUUUAGCAGCACCUCAGUCUGUUAUCUGUGCAACCCACUAUUUGCACCUCAAAAUUCAAAUAUGAUGGUUUCAUCCUAUGAAUCAACUUUGAUCAGAAAACAUAACCCGGCCCUCACCCAACUCCGUCUAAACCGGCAGUUGCUGGCUCAGAGUCAUGGAAUAUAAGGAUCUCUGCAGGAUAAGGGUGUCAUCACUGCCAGACACGUUUUAAAGAUUGAGAAGGCUGAGCCUGAGUGCAUGUGACAGAUGUUUACUUUUGGAAUGCUUCUGAAGGCUGCCCACAUUCCUUGGCUUAUGGCCCCACAGCACUCCAACCUCUGCUCAGGUUGUCAUCUCUCCUCUUGUCUCCCUCUUAUACAUACCCUUGUGAUUGCAUCAGACCCAUCUGGAUAGCCCGUGAUAAUCUCUUCAUCUCCAGAUCUUUA